Molecule: ribosomal RNA, 1028 nt
Filed under: agricultural soil bacterium SC-I-5
Lineage: Bacteria
Description: bacterial SSU rRNA
Rfam family: Bacterial small subunit ribosomal RNA
Source: RNAcentral
GAGUUUGAUCCUGGCUCAGAAUCAACGCUGGCGGCGCGCCUAACACAUGCAAGUCGAACGAGAAAGUGGAGCAAUCCAUGAGUAAAGUGGCGUACGGGUGAGUAACACGUGGGUAAUCUACCUCUUAGUGGGGAAUAACCGAGGGAAACCUUGGCUAAUACCGCAUAAGCCUGAGAAGGGAAAGCAGCAAUGCGCUGAGAGAGGAGCCCGCGGCUGAUUAGCUAGUUGGUGGGGUAAGAGCCUACCAAGGCAGAGAUCGGUAGCCGGCCUGAGAGGGCACACGGCCACACUGGCACUGAAACACGGGCCAGACUCCUACGGGAGGCAGCAGUGGGGAAUCUUGCACAAAGGGGGAAACCCUGAUGCAGCGACGCCGCGUGAGCGAUGAAGCCCUUCGGGGUGUAAAGCUCUUUCGUCAGGGAAGAUAAUGACGGUACCUGGAGAAGCAGCUGCGGCUAACUACGUGCCAGCAGCCGCGGUAAUACGUAGGCAGCAAGCGUUGUUCGGAGUUACUGGGCGUAAAGGGUGUGUAGGCGGUUCUUUAAGUUUGGUGUGAAAUCUCCCGGCUCAACUGGGAGGGUGCGCCGAAUACUGAGGACUAUGAGUACGGGAGAGGAAAGUGGAAUUCCUGGUGUAGCGGUGAAAUGCGUAGAUAUCAGGAGGAACACCGGUGGUGUAGACGGCUUUCUGGACCGACACUGACGCUGAGACACGAAAGCGUGGGUAGCAAACAGGAUUAGAUACCCUGGUAGUCCACGCCCUAAACGAUGCAUAUUUGGUGUGGGCAGUUCAUUCUGUCCGUGCCGGAGCUAACGCGUUAAAUAUGCCGCCUGGGGAGUACAGUCGCAAGGCUGAAACUCAAAGGAAUUGACGGGGGCCCGCACAAGCGGUGGAGCAUGUGGUUCAAUUCGACGCAACGCGAAGAACCUUACCUGGGCUCGAACGGCUUCUCAACGUCGGUAGAAAUACUGAUACCCCGCAAGGGGGUGGAGUCGAGGUGCUGCAUGGCUGUGGUCAGCUCGGUGCGU